GGCUCCCAUUUUGGCUGUAGUGUUUCCAAGCGCGUCAAUGAGAGCACGUUCUUUGGUACUUUUCUCCAGUAAAGAUAAACAAUUUUAUUGUUUAUUUGCAUAUUGGGGUACCUAUUGUUUGAUUAUAAACGUUGAUUGACUUGUUUGGAUAAGUUUAUUGGUAACGUUUGGGAUUCAUUUUGUAUGCAUUUUGAAGGAGGGAAACCGAGUGGAUUAUUGACUGAAGCGCGCCAGUUAAACUGAGUUUUUAUGGAUAUAAAAAAUGACUUUAUCGAACAAAAGGACCAUUUGUAAUGUAACUGGGACCUUUUGGAGUGACAACAGAAGAACAUUUUCAAAGGCAUUCCACUGAUUUCAAAACUCAGUCAUCUUCUUCCGUGACAGCAACACUGUUGAUCGCCGUUUCUUCCCCAUCACAGUCAUCAGAAGACUCUACAAUGUCUGGUUAAACAGAAGACCAACAAUCACAGCAUCUCAGUUCAGUUACUGAGAGGUUUUAACUGCCCAAGAGGCUAAGAGCAUGGUCUGGCCGGGGGUCAUGAGGGACGACAUACAUGUAGGGGGUCAUGCAGGGGGUCAUGAGAGACGACAUACAUGUACACUGUAGGUUCUGAUGUUACCAAGUACUUACAUGCCAUUGAUCAGAGUGAGAAUAAGGAUCUGACCAGUGUUGAAUUUGUAUUGAGCUCAGACAUUAUUCGCCUGCCCCCUAAACAGAUGUUUGUCAUAGCAAGUGAAGAUAGGAAUGAUAUGUAUAGUGUCUUCACAUUGAUGUAUCCAAACAAUGAUCUCACCAUUGUACAGCUGACAGAACAACAUGGUAAGGUAGACAUGCAGGGAGAGGUUAUAAGCACUGAUCAAAGUAGAAGUUUUUGAUAAUGUGUACUUGCAAAGUGGUUCGCCACUGACAGACAGAGGGGCCUACCACACAUUCAAAGAAGUAAAGCUAACACCAGGCAUAGUAACACAGUUGUUCUCUUGUGAUGUGCUUGAUGGUCCAGCACAUGUAGACACAUGUCAUUCCCGUGUAAAUUGCUUCCUGAAACAUCUACAUAAAUAUAAUUUCAAGCCCCCUGUUGAGGUUUGGGGCAAUUCUUUGGAAUCAGUAUCAGGCACAGUUCAUUCCAUUUCAGAAAAUUAUGAAGUGCUGUGCAUAUUGAAUCAAAAAAUUAUUCAAGCCCUGUCGAGUUGGUUGUUGAUCAUUGCUAGACAACCAUUUUCAAGUCUUGCCAUAGACUUUCAAGAUUUACAAGCCAAUUUAUGUCAAAACUGUAACUAAGGCCACUCAGGAACAUUCAGUGUUGUCUUGGUAAGUAACUCCAGUGUAUAUUUGGCAUUGUAUUUUAUUGUCCUGCUGGUGGAUUUGUCUCCCACUUUUGGAAAGCAGACUGAACCAGGUUUUUCUCUACGACUGCGUCUGUACUUAGCUCUAUUCCUUUUCUUUUUAUCCUGAAAAACUCCCUAGUCCUUUCCGAUGACAAACAUACCUAUAACAUGAUGCAAUCACCACCAUGCUGGAAAAUAUGAAGAAUGGCACUCAGUGAUGUGUUGUGUUGGAUUUGCCCCAAACAUAACGCUUUGCAUUCUGGACAAAAAGUUACUUUCUUUGCCACAUUUUUUGUAGUUUUUCUUUAGUGCCUUAUUUUAAACAGGAUGCAUGUUUUGGAAUAUGUUUUAUUCUGUACAAGCUUCCUUCUUUUCACUCUGUCAUUUAGGUUAAUAUUGUGGCGUAACUACAAUGUUGUUGAUCCAUCCUCAGUUUUAUCCUAUCACAGCCAUUUAACUCUGCAACUGGUUCAAAAGGAUUAUGAUUAUUAUUUGACCCUGCUGGUCAUCUAUAAACGUUUGAAUACCUUGAAGAACAAUCUGGCCUUAAUGGCCAUGUACUUUUAUCAUUUCCACACGGCACAGCCAUAAGAGAACUGGCCUCUCUAGGUUUCUUCCUAGAUUCCUUCCUUUCUAGGGAGUUUUUCCUAUCCACCGUGCUUCUACAUCUGCAUUGCUUGCUGUUUGGGGUAUUAGUUUGGGUUUCUGUAUAAGCACUUUGUGACAUCUGCUGAUUUAAAAAGGGCUUUAUAAAUACAUUUGAUUGAUUCAUUUAAAAUCACCAUUGGCCUCACGCGGCAGGUAGCCUAGUGGUUAGAGCAUUGGACUAGUAACCGAAAGGUUGCAAGAUCAAAUCCCCGAGCUGACAAGGUAAUAAUCUGUCAUUCUGCCACUGAACAAGGCAGUUAACCCACUGUUCCUCAUUGAAAACAAGAAUUUGUUCUUAACUGACUUGCCUAGUUAAAUAAAGUAUAAAAUGGUGAAAUCCCUGAGUGGUUUCCUUCCUCUCUGUCAACCGAGUUAGGAAGGACUCCUGUAUCUUUGUAGUGACUGGGUGCAUUGAUACUCCAUCCAAAGUAUAAUUAUUAACUUCACCAUGCUCAAAGGGAUAUUCAAUUUCUGCUUUUUUACCCAUCUAUCAAUAGGUGCCCUUCUUCACGAGGCAUAAGACAACUUCCCUUGUCGUUGAAUCUGUGCUUGAAAUCCACUGCUCGACUGCGCAGAUUGAAUACGCAGAUCAUUGCAUGUGCGGAGUACAGAGAUGGGGUAGUCAUAAAACAAUUAUGUUAAACACCAUUAAACGCACAAAGAGUUAGUCCAAGACACUUAUUAUCUGACUUGUUAAGCAAAUUUUUACUCGUGAAGUUAUUUGGGC
RNAcentral lists this long non-coding RNA (2701 nucleotides) under Salmo salar (Atlantic salmon). Its description in RNAcentral is "lncRNA (ENSSSAG00000112491.1)". Lineage: Eukaryota; Metazoa; Chordata; Actinopteri; Salmoniformes; Salmonidae. The record is from RNAcentral.